CGCCCAUUGGGGGUUCUUUUGGGAGCAGUCGACGCAGACUUUGUUCUCCGGUUGGGAUUGGAGCGUGCGGAGUCGUAUGGCUGCCGCCAUGGUGGAAUUGUGACGUCUCUACGAUCUGAGGUUUGACCCGACCCGAGUAGAUCUGGUCCAGUGGGGGAGAGAGUCUGAUGAGGCUGAUGCGUUUUUUUUUUUUUUUUACAUUCUCUCGUUUCGUAUUGGUAAGUGGUAACCCGCGUUUUCUUUGUACGUGUUUCAGGCACGUGCGAGUUUUGUGUUUACAUGUGUUUAGGCACGUGUGGUAUGUUCACUAAAACAUUUACACCUAUGACAUGAACAUUCUUUUAGUUAGGUUCAGGUUCAAAUUUUUUGGGUCUUGGUUCGUUUGCAUGUAGAGAUAUAGAAACCAUUCAAAUAAUUUAGUUUUAUUUAGGUUUAAUUAUUUUGGUUUUUCGGUUUUGUUCUCAUAAAAGUAUCGGAAACAAGUCAAUACCUGAAAUAGUUCGAGUUUAGUUUAGAUCUAAUUUAAUUUCGGUUUUGCUUAGAGUUUUUAUGUAAUUUCAUAUAAUUCAAAGAAAAAUAUCAAAUAAUUCGAAUGUUUUGGAUAAAGGAUCAGAUAUUUUAGAUUAUUUAAAUUAAACUAUCAAAUAAUCCGGAUAGUUUCGUAUUAUAUAAUUCAAUAUAAUAUUUUAUAAUUUAUAUAUUUGUGAACUGAAAUUUGGAUUUAUAGGUUGUAAUUUUAGAUAUAUGGUUAUUUUGAUACUAAACAUAUCUAAUAUUUUUCUGGUCCAUGAAUUAUAUUAUGGAUAUUCAUAUAUAUUUUCAGUUUUCAUUUUGAUUUCAAUAUAAUUUUGAUUUUUUGUUAUAGAAGCACAAUAACUGUUAAAAUGAAUUUCAAUUCAGUUUGAUUUGGUUGGAUUCCUCGAGUUUCAUCUAAAAUGCUCAGGCGUUCAUCCACUAGAAAUUUGAGAAACUGUCAACAUUUAUUGAGAAGCAACAUUGUAAAUUAAAAGUUCUCCAGCAAAUUAUUUUACAGUGGUAUUUAGAGAGGAUCAUUAUAUUUACAUAAGGUUCAUCUCCUCUUCCCUAGUCUCAAACAUUAUCUCCCACAAAAGUUUUAGCUCUAUCAUUUUCACUGCAUCCAUGAAUGACAAGUGUUGAAACCUCGACUCGUCCCAUCUCAUAGUAACUUGUUAAAACUUGUCGAUUUCCAAUUAUCACAAGCUCAUACUCCUUCCUUCCCAUUGCCUCUAUAAUCUUUGCUAUAUUUCCCUCAACUGCUAUAUCUUCAUACUCUACCACUACACCUUCACAUUGUUUCUUGAAUUCUUCCACUGCUACUUCAUCAAUAUCCUGUAUCAUCCACAAACUUUAGUUAGGUAUUAUCAGAGUGUAACCACCGAGUCUAGAAUAUAAAAUUGUUAUCAAUUAAUUAAUGGUAAAUGAUUUUGUCACCUUCUCACAAUAUGGAGAAGCUUUGGUGUUAUCAGAGAAUAGCAAAAGUGUUACUAUAAUCUUGGGGUUUUGAGCCAUUCUACUUCCAAUCUUAAGUGCUUUUCUAUCGUUUGGUCCACCAAUGAACACAACUCCUACCCUUUUUGGCGCCUGGCCGCUACUAAUACUGCUUUCUCCAGCCUCUUGAUGGCUUAGAACCGUGACCGAGCAUUUAGCAUUUUCCAUCACUCUUUGGUUGACCACUCGCCAUCCAGUAACCAUAUACGGUAAUACGACCAUCCACACCUUCUUACGUUCCGCAACAUUGCAUAUGUCCUCGUGCAUAGUCCCCAACGCCGACACACUUUUCAAGUGGCGUAUCUUUAUCUUCUGCUUCUGGUCCCUGGCCUGUUCGUAAAUACUGAAAGCAUCUUCUAUCUCGUUACGUGACCUCCCUUUACACAACUUGUGUAUGAACGGCACACCGUUUCUCCUCGUUCGUUGGACCAUUGAGAUGGAGGAUGGUCGGUCAGUAAGUUCCAUCAAGUGCAUCACAUAUAGUGUGACUGAUCCGUCGGACGUACCAAAAGACUCGACGAGUUUGAUUAUACAAGGGACGUCUCGGGGGCUACGUACGCAUGCUAGUAUGCGUAACUUCCCCUUACCUUCAGAUGUAGUACUGUCUAAACCGCCAUUGUUCAUUGGUUUGUAUAUAGCCACGACUGAGGGAGUCGUCAUGAAGGUUGUGACGAGAGCCAUCACUACUAGGAUUGCGAACAUCUCCUCGUUUAAUACCUGAUCGAUGAUAUUAAUUAUCGCAAGAAGGUCCAUUUAAAACAUAAUGAGUAAAAAUAAUUCUCAGUAAUUUUAUAUCCUAUGAGAAUUUGUUUUUUUGGGGGGUAAAAUAUUCUAUGAAAAAUUAACUUGGCAUGUUGAAGAAUUUUGAAACCACACAUUGUAGUUGGAUCACUCAUGUAUACAUAGCAACAAUUAAAUAUCAUCUGUUAAAUUUUACUUUUUAGUAUAGAUUGUAUUUUGACAUGUGCUCUAAGAUAUAAGAGAUUAUUAAUUAUGAUCUAUAAUCAACUAAAAGUGCAAUAAUCGUAGAAAAAAUAUUAAGAUGAUGUGUAGUAAACUAGUAGGUUACCUUCUUCUCCCUACCGAUGUUAAGUACAACUAGCUCAACUAGCCCUUUAGUGUUCAUCAAAAAACCUAAAGUGAGGGAUUCACGCGCCGGUAUGGUGCACAUCAUCGCCAUGAGGAAGGUACCAAUGAUCUUGCCUGCGCAAGCCGUGGAUAUGACCAAGGCCAGUAUCCCCCACGCCUCUGCACCUAUGAUCUUAUUCACAUCCGUCUUCAGUCCACUAGAUGCAAAGUAGAGUGGAAGCAGCAGCCCGGAAACAAAGUCAUCUAUCCUCUCUACAAGCCGGUCGCUGAAAGAUCCACUUUUAGGGAUGAUUAGGCCAAAUACGAACGCUCCAAAAAUGGAGUGUAGUCCGAUUAGGUCUGUGAUGAAACCGAAGACCAGAACACCAGCUAGUGUUAGGUAUAUGCAAGCCUCGUGCAUGGUCCCGUCAUAGUACCGGAUGAUCCAUCUCAUGGUAGGUUGGAUCAGAAAAAACAUGAAGAUUACAAAGGCUACACCCGAGAGGAGGGCCCAUAUGGAUAUCAAUGGGGAGACAUGUUUUUGAUGGUCGUGGCUACCGGGGAGAGCCACGGCUAGGGCAAGGAGGAUCCAUGCGGCUAUGUCGUUGAAGGCUGCGGCCGCUAACGCUGUUUGGCCAACGCUUGUGGUUAAGAGCUUGAGCUCGGCUAAGAUACUGGCAAGGACUGGGAAAGCUGUGAUGGAAAGAGCAACUCCAAUAAAGAGAAGGAACUGCCAGUACCCAGCUGAGCCAUGAUCCUCCUCCACGGCUGUACGGAGGAAGAGAGAAAUGGCCGCGCCUAAAGCAAAUGGCAGACAGAUUCCAGCGAGUGAUAUAGCAAAAGCUUUCUUUCCUGUUUGGCCUAUAGCUGCGAAGUCCAGCUCUAGACCGACUAGGAAGAGGAAGAAAAGGAGACCAAUACUUGCCACUGACUCAAGUAUUGGUGUGCUCCAUUUUGGAAAAAAUAGUUCAAGAAAUUCUUUGUUUCUUCCCAAUGCUGAAGGUCCCAACAAUAUCCCUCCCUAUAAGAAUGUAACGAUAAACUCUACGUUAAUGCGACUCUUUUUACGUAUAAAAUAGAGGCAUAUGCACAUGUAUAGUGUGUAUAGAGCUUAUAAACAUAAAGGCAUGUGCAUGUAUAGCGUGUAUAGUAUAGAGCUUACGAGGAUCUCGGCCACGACUUUGGGUUGACGUAGAGGUCUGAGGAGGAAGGCAAGGAAGCGGCUGCUGAAGAGGACAAGUAUGACUUGUACUAUUAAAAGAGGAAAGGCACACUUGAGAGGAUUGUCUCCUUCCCAUAUUCCAUCUGACGCCGCUUUGAUAUUUGUUACAUUUACAACCAUUUUCUUUUAACUAAAUUCAGUAGCUCAAUCAGAACCGCUAACUCAAAAUGAUCUUAAUUUUUUUUUCUAUCUUUGCAUGUGAAGAACGAAACUAAAAUACUUCUUUUUUUUUGCUUUAUAGAUUUUGUUUUUGUUUGGGUAAAUAAGUGAGAAGUUGUGACAAGUUAGGAAAGACGGAUUACACCUUUUAUAGCCGAGAAAGGAGAGGAGUGGUUGAUGACAAGCCAAUAAUUUUUACAACAAAAGUUUUUAGAAGAUUAUUCGUAUUUCAUUAUAAACAUUUUUAAACAUCAUGCAAAACGUUCCUUUUCUUUUGGUCAACAACAUUCAUGUUUUCUUCUGAUUUUGUUUGUCGUUACUAUCGAUCGUGCUCACUGACAUACUUUAAAAACAUUACUUUAAAAGAUUGUCACUCGCUGUCAAAAAAGAAGAAGAUGUCACUCACAUUAAUUAAGAGAAUACCGCAUAGCUGGUGUUUGUAGAAUCAAUCGAUCAAUCAUCAAAAUUUAGGAAAAUAACGAAACACGUAAACAUAAUGAGGUCAUAAUUAUUCGUUAAGCUCGUACGAAUGUGAAUAUGUAUGUUAAAAUGAAGAGCAAACGCAUAAAUUUUUAUAUAGUAAAUACCUAAACCCGAGUGGAUAAAAAUCAUCUGAUGGCGCAUUUUCAUACGCAUUGGUUAGCAUCAUAGAUAACUUCAAAUGUAGUUUAACUGCAAGCGUCGCGUACAUGUAUCAUGAGAUGAUACAUAAUCAUAUUUCCUAAAUCAAAUUUUUCCACACUGGUGUCUCGUUGGAUGUUCUCUCGAAGCCUAGAACACAUACAAAACAGACAUGUUAAGUACCAAAAAAGAAAUUUGAGCGCCGUACGUCAGACAACCGUUUAUAGCUGUGGCUCUCCCCGAUAGUCUUGCAACGGCUAGGGCAAUGUGAAUUCAAAAUGGAUCAGACUUCGAAUUAUAAUGAGAUGAUAUAUUGAUAUCGGGUUAACCAUGAACUUAAUGUGCAACAAAAUUAUAUCACCGAAACUAUUUUUUUAUCAAAGCUUCCUUUUCUUUCAAAAAGAUUAUAUAAAUAAACUAGGUGCAAAAAUCUUUCACUCCUCGAUAGAGUUUUACUCGCAUAGAUUUAUAAAAAAUUAAAAACACUCCAACUUGAGGCUCGAGGUUAUUCGUUUUGAAAAACAUUGAACUCUUUAGCAAAAAAAAAAAAAAGACUAUGAAGAAAAGUUUCCAAACUAUAUGUCAUAGUGUUUGAACUUUGAAACACAAAGAACAAAACAUGAAUAUAAUAAAAUAAAACCAAUUCUUUGAUAAAUAAACUUCGAGAAUUGAAAUAUAUUAUGAAAGUGUGUAUUUAUUCAUCCAUCAAGGAUAGAGUAUAAGUAUAUAUACAACAUAGGAAAAGGUACACAAUAGAUAAUAUCAAAUCCCUUUGAAAUAUGGAACUAUCUAAGGUAUCUUAUCUCAAUAGAUAUUUCGGGUGACAUUCUACUAUUUGAGAAUUUUUUUCUUCAAGAAUCUCCCACAGUUACACUUACAACUUUAACAAUCACAAUUCAUGACAAUCAUAACUUGUCAAGGAUAUGAUUUACAUCCUAUUCAUCUUUUCUGUUUUUUGGUCAAAUUUUCUUCUUACAAACGAGUUAUUAAACUUCAAUCCGUGAAGUUUUCUUUUCUACAAUCCUAAGAUUGAAGCGAUUCGCUAAACUCGUAAUAAAAAUGUUCAUCUCACUAAUUGCAACUACAUAGGUUAGCUAAUAGCUAAACCACAUUAUCAAUGGACCACGAAAAUGAUCUCAACUCAGAAGAGUAUCACAUGCUGUCACGAGUUUAAAAUAAAGGGAUAUAAAACUUUGAUUAUAUUUAUCAUUCAACCCAAGAGAUCCACAUGUCUUGUAGUGGAACAUAGUGCACACUAGCUUCGGAUCAGUGAUACGAUUACGAAAGCUAUAUGAUGACUGCAAAGAAAACAAAGUAGCUAUACUAUGAUUUAUAAUCGACUGGGUCCCUAUUUCUUAAUUUAAAACCCAUAAUAGUGAUAGAAAGAUAUGGUUGGUGUCAUAUGCUUCACUAAUGAAUACUUUAACGUAUUAUAUUGUAGACUUAGCUUGUAGAUACCAUUUUUCUUCCGGUUUCUAACCCAUUAUUUAUUUUAGGCGAUUUAUUAUGAUCCACUCAUACACUCUAGUAGGAUCGACCGUUUAGUUUAUUACAAAGUUACAAACGUCAAAAUCAUUAUGUGGGUGCGUAGAUCAUUGAUUCUUUUUAUUUUAUUUGUUUGGCGUAACGUAGGUCACGAUUCCUGAAACCUGAACAUAAUCAUCUAUCGUGUACAUGACUCAUGGUCAUGGCACAUAGAAGAUUUACAAAUCUACCCACCUAGCCUGUCUACACAUGACCACAUAUGGCUGCCGCCAUGGUGGAAUUGUGACGUCUCUACGAUCUGAGGUUUGACCCGACCCGAGUAGAUCUGGUCCAGUGGGGGAGAGAGUCUGAUGAGGCUGAUGCGUUUUUUUUUUUUUUUUUACAUUCUCUCGUUUCGUAUUGGUAAGUGGUAACCCGCGUUUUCUUUGUACGUGUUUCAGGCACGUGCGAGUUUUGUGUUUACAUGUGUUUAGGCACGUGUGGUAUGUUCACUAAAAC
Molecule: long non-coding RNA, 6562 nt
Filed under: Brassica napus (rape)
Lineage: Eukaryota; Viridiplantae; Streptophyta; Magnoliopsida; Brassicales; Brassicaceae
Description: long non-coding RNA (BNAP_LNC004032)
Source: RNAcentral